This is a long non-coding RNA of Thalassophryne amazonica, 921 nucleotides long. RefSeq lists it as uncharacterized. The record is from RefSeq and is a predicted model, not a curated record. NCBI's taxonomy places the organism in Eukaryota, Metazoa, Chordata, Actinopteri, Batrachoidiformes, Batrachoididae. The transcript has 4 exons.
UGCAGUCUAUUUACUGUCAGGACAUGUACUCACACACCUCCGACUGGAAACAACAUGUCAGGAGGUGAUCUAUAGGGGUGUUGAGAUUUGCACCUGUCCAAAGAGUCCUGACCUUUUGACCCAUUCUCUCUGUCUCUGUCUCUCUCUCUCUGAUUUCAUACUGUGGAACAUGAAAUGGCAGAGAAGUAUUACAUGCUGGCCUCAUGGGGGUCAAAUAAGAUGAGCACAGCUGUUGCUGGAUCAACUUGAGGAGUGUUUGUACAGCAGGAGGUGUGGUGGUGAGGGGGUUUAUGCCAGCCAAAAUCAUAUUGCUAACUCACCCUCUGCUGAUGUCUCCCUCCCAAACACGGGUCAUCUGUCUUUUCAGUGCUGAAAUGCAGAGCUCGCUUCAUUACAUCCCAAACAACAACAACGGACAAAACCGGCAAACAAACUGCAACUUCAGCAUGCAUCCCCAUGAGGUCUCCCUCCCUCCCUCAAUCUCCCCCAUUUCUGGUUCUCUCCCAUUCUGAGCCAUUUCAAACACAAGAGGUUGCAAAAUGGUCUGCAUCGAGGAUGACUGGACAGAAACGCAACGUCCCACCACCACCACCACCCCAAUCCAAGGUCUCCUAUUAGAAUGUCAGGUCAGCAUGAGCAGUGCUGCAGCUGUAGCAGCAGUUAGCAACAGCACAGCAUAGCCGCGUGGAAUCAUGUUUGUCACCACGGCUGCACCUUUGUUGUGUGGAAUGUGUGUGUCAGUGUGGGAACAAGUGGUGCGUAUGAUUGUGUUGUUCUUUGUUCAUGGCGGACAAAAAGAGAAGUGUCACAUCGCCGAGCGAUGGUGUGUUUGUCAUUAGCUCUAUGCGUGCUCAUUUCAAAAACCAGUUGUAGAAUGUCCACUGUCUAGAAGUCUCUCUCUCUCUCUCUCUCUCUCUCUCU